RNAcentral lists this ribosomal RNA (482 nucleotides) under uncultured bacterium. RNAcentral's name for it is "partial 16S ribosomal RNA". It matches the Rfam family "Bacterial small subunit ribosomal RNA", at positions 30 to 507 of the family's 1533-position model. The record is from RNAcentral.
AUUGAACGCUGGCGGCAUGCUUUACACAUGCAAGUCGAACGGUAACAGGCCGCAAGGUGCUGACGAGUGGCGAACGGGUGAGUAAUGCAUCGGAACGUGCCCAGUCGUGGGGGAUAACUACUCGAAAGAGUAGCUAAUACCGCAUACGAUCUAUGGAUGAAAGCGGGGGACCGUAAGGCCUCGCGCGAUUGGAGCGGCCGAUGUCAGAUUAGGUAGUUGGUGGGGUAAAGGCUCACCAAGCCAACGAUCUGUAGCUGGUCUGAGAGGACGACCAGCCACACUGGGACUGAGACACGGCCCAGACUCCUACGGGAGGCAGCAGUGGGGAAUUUUGGACAAUGGGCGCAAGCCUGAUCCAGCAAUGCCGCGUGCAGGAAGAAGGCCUUCGGGUUGUAAACUGCUUUUGUACGGAACGAAACGGCUCUGGUUAAUACCCGGGGCUAAUGACGGUACCGUAAGAAUAAGCACCGGCUAACUAUGUG